Molecule: ribosomal RNA, 491 nt
Filed under: uncultured bacterium
Lineage: Bacteria
Description: partial 16S ribosomal RNA
Rfam family: Bacterial small subunit ribosomal RNA
Source: RNAcentral
AGUGAACGCUGGCGGUAGGCCUAACACAUGCAAGUCGAAGGCAGCACAGUAAGAGCUUGCUCUUACGGGUGGCGAGUGGCGGACGGGUGAGGAAUACAUCGGAAUCUACUUUUUCGUGGGGGAUAACGUAGGGAAACUUACGCUAAUACCGCAUACGACCUACGGGUGAAAGCAGGGGAUCUUCGGACCUUGCGCGAUUGAAUGAGCCGAUGUCGGAUUAGCUAGUUGGCGGGGUAAAGGCCCACCAAGGCGACGAUCCGUAGCUGGUCUGAGAGGAUGAUCAGCCACACUGGAACUGAGACACGGUCCAGACUCCUACGGGAGGCAGCAGUGGGGAAUAUUGGACAAUGGGCGCAAGCCUGAUCCAGCCAUACCGCGUGGGUGAAGAAGGCCUUCGGGUUGUAAAGCCCUUUUGUUGGGAAAGAAAAGCAGCAGGUUAAUACCCCGCUGUUCUGACGGUACCCAAAGAAUAAGCACCGGCUAACUUCGUG